AGUAGAAAACAAGCCUUCGCCGAACAGAAGAAGGCGGUUGUGUCAAUUAAAUGCCACAGAGUUUUGUGGCUCAUGUGUGUUGUGACAGUGUGAAAGGCACAGGAAGGAAAGGCCAUGCUUCCUCUGAUGCUCCUGCUGCUGUGGACCAGAGCAGAUAAGAACACACACAUGGAUGCACACCCAGCCAUGAACAAACAAUCACAACACAGAUCCAUGCUGCCUGUGCUAACACCCCCUCCCUCUCCCACUCCCCUGCAGAUCAGCAUCCAUGUGGUUUGGCCUCAUAAUCAACUCCCUGCACCGCCCCACCUCCAUGUCACACAUUUUGGUGUGCGCUCGGCGGUCCAAGUCGGAGUGUUUGAAUUGGCAGUGCUAGCUGAGCACUGGAAGCUCUUAGUUUCUAAUAGGCAAAUAAUCAUUGUAUUGAACUAUUUGGGUUAGUGAGACAAAGCAAUCGUCCUGGCAACUCCACCAGCUGUAGAUACAAAGCAGAGUCCUCUCAUUCUUCUCAGUGGUUUAUUAAGGUGCAUGCAUGGAUGAAAAGGCACCUCCUUCAGAAAUGAGUAAAGAACUUCCUGGAGAGUGUGUAUGCUGUGCUUUUGAGGGCGAGACUGAUGCUGAGAGUGUGUCUCUGUUAUUUUCUGUGUGUGAGGGGCGUGUGUGUGUUUGUGUGCGUCCGCUGACGUAAGCCUCUCUAUCUGAUCAUGCCCUUCUAAUCCCCACAGUGAUGUGUCAUGAAUAUGGAGUUUAAGACUCAAAUCCCCAGGGAUACACAGGCUAUAGAUAGCUUGCACCUUCCUCUCUCUCUCACACACACACACACACACACACAUACAAAAGACACACACUUUAAGCAGCAGCCCCAAUUUGGCCCACACACACAUUGUACACAUCGCUCCUGACCCUUGUGACGUUGAAGGAGCAGAACAGGAAAAAGCCAGUAAAAGAUGAUUAAGAUGAACGUAACAGAGUCGGAAGAGUUUCAGUGGAUGAAGAGAAUAACAGAGGAAUGCAGAAAGUGAAGAAUGUGCUUGUAGAGCUGCUGAUUGGUUGUUUAAAUUUAAGGAUAUCUCUGGUUUGUACAGAGCUAGGCCUAAUUUGUGUCGCUUUGGCUUUUUGAUGGCAAUAACCACUCACUGUAUUACAAUCGCCUAUUAUCUCACUAUGUAGUAAUUAAUAUCAGUGGAAGAGGUGUGCCAUUUCUGCACAUGCACAAGGUUGCACAGAACACAAUUCAUGUAUAUAAUUCACCAUGAUUUUUUUGUCAUUGAUAUCAGCUUUGGGUGGCUUUUCUUUUAAUGCAGCCAUAGGAAACACGGUAUAUUUGUCAUUGCAGUCAGCACUAGUCCUAAUCAUCCACAAAACCAGACAAUGGUCAUUUACAGCAAUUUUUGACAACUGACAGAUAUCAAUAUGUGAAGCAGUGGAACAGAAAGGAGCCUCUACAGAGGAGCUGCAGGUCUCAUGAAUCCAAAGCUUCAGUAAAGUAUUCAACUUUAGUGUUCUGUGUAUGUUGUUUUUGCACCGCAUUCAGCAUAAAAUCAGAUUGUGAUUGCUGUCAUUACUGACCAAAAUCUUUAUACAAAAUGAGGUUCUAAAGGCUGUGUACAGCAUACAGGAAGAGCAGUGAGAGUGAACCAGAACAGUAAAAUUGGCCAGACAACAUAAGAAUUGGUUAGAACUCGCCAUGAAGCUUUGCAAAUCUGAUUGAAGCGGUAGCUUUGCGAAGUGCUGAAAUGUGGUAAUGCGGCUACAUCCAGUGCACAGGAAGUCCAAUGAGGUAAUAAGCACAGAGAGUGAGAUGAUCGUAUUGGACAGUAAAAUGAUUUCCCAAACUGUCCUUUGUAAGCAUCCACCACACUUUACAGACUAACUUUGUAUUUAUCGUAAUCAAAAUCAACUUUAUUGGCCAAGUAUGUUGACAUAUACCAGGAAUUUACUCUGGUUCUCUUAGACUCCCAACAUACUCACACACAACACAAUGCAGAAAACAAAUUUACAUAAUAAUGCAAAUCCAGACUUACUACUAAACAAAUGUAAGCAAAAAAUAGUUUGGUUCCUCUCUUAUUAUCUGAUUUGUGUGUUUUUUCUACAGUUGUAGUGAUGCUGUCUUGUUCCCAGAACCCAGUAAUGACUUUGCUGUGUUGUUAUAACUGAUUCAGAUGAUGGCCACAACAGUGAAAAUGAGGUCCACAUUGCAAUAACCUCAAAUGGAGCGGCUAAGGUGUACUGGAAGCUCUUUAUAUUUUAUGGAACGCAAUAAUCUGGAAGUGUGUUUCCUCGGGUUAUUGUGGCCUAGAACACACACAGACACAUACUGCAGGUGAUAAAAGACAUAAUGCAUGUAGCAGAGGAUACGUGGAAUGGAGGCUGGAAUGAAACGAAUAUCAUCUUGAAAACAACAUUACAGCCAGGAUACGAAUGGUUAUAAUCAGUGAAACCCCAGUGCAGUUACUUUGCAAGACAGUGGCCAGACAUGGAUCAAUCCCACCCGGAAUUGGGUUUCACAUCCCGGAAGCAGAGAUGUACACAUGGGUCACUUUCAUCGACUCACUGCGGCCAUGGCCAUAGGUAUCCAUCAUACAGACCAUUGACUGCUUGUGACCAUGAAGGUACAAAUUCAUCACAAAGAGAGGCUGCGGUGGAUGAGACUGAAGAUGAAUAACAGAUGCUGUGAUGGUGUCACGAUCUGAACUCCAGACUUGGCCGACUCGCCUGAAGACUGAGGGAGAGAAAUGAAAGGAAGGAUGAAAGAGAGAUGAGAAGAAGGAGACGAUAAAGACUGAUCGCCACCGACUCAUGUCCUGUACGCUGAAAAUUGACCUAUCCAUGCAUGUGCAUCUGCGCUCCGGAGGUCCGAAAAGCCAGGUUGCAUUGCCAAGAACCCUUUGGAUGUGAACUCAAACUCGGUCUGUGAGGGAGUGACUAUAAGGAAUACUUUUUUUUUCUUUUGGAGU
This is a long non-coding RNA of Amphiprion ocellaris (clown anemonefish), 2957 nucleotides long. RefSeq lists it as uncharacterized. Lineage: Eukaryota; Metazoa; Chordata; Actinopteri; Pomacentridae. The record is from RefSeq and is a predicted model, not a curated record. The transcript has 7 exons.